UAACAACUAAUGACGUGAUGAAGAAUUGUUCCUUGCGGAGGUGAAUGUCAUACAAUAAGAUCUACUCGGAGUAAAUGACAUAUGGAUACAUAACAAUCAAGAAGGUUUUAUUAAGCAGGAACCCGGAAUACUGUGACUCCGCCACUUCACUCGGCUUCCUCUACCUAAACAACGGAUUUAACAACUAAUGACGUGAUGAAGAAUUGUUCCUUGCGGAGGUGAAUGUCAUACAAUAAGAUCUACUCGGAGUAAAUGACAUAUGGAUACAUAACAAUCAAGAA
Molecule: long non-coding RNA, 281 nt
Organism: Pseudophryne corroboree (corroboree frog)
Lineage: Eukaryota; Metazoa; Chordata; Amphibia; Anura; Myobatrachidae
Exons: 2
Source: RefSeq, a predicted model, not a curated record